Molecule: transfer RNA, 64 nt
Filed under: marine eukaryotic metagenome
Rfam family: tRNA
About the family: Transfer RNA (tRNA) molecules are approximately 80 nucleotides in length. Their secondary structure includes four short double-helical elements and three loops (D, anti-codon, and T loops).
Source: RNAcentral
UCGUAGCUCAAUUGGAUAGAGCACUAGACUUCGAAUCUAGGGGUUGCAGGUUCGAGUCCUGCCG